Mustela lutreola (European mink) is the source of this 711-nucleotide long non-coding RNA. RefSeq lists it as uncharacterized. The transcript has 3 exons. Lineage: Eukaryota; Metazoa; Chordata; Mammalia; Carnivora; Mustelidae. The record is from RefSeq and is a predicted model, not a curated record.
ACCCAGGGAUCCCACAGUCCCAGAAACUUCCGGCAAAAGGAAAGGACCGUGCGUUGUGGAUGGUAGAUGGAAACUCCCAUUCUCCAAGCUCAGCUCUCCCCUCAGCAGGGGGGGCGCAGUGACCCUCAGCUUCUUACUGGCCCUGAGAGGCCUCUCAGGAGGCACCUGCUCUGAUGGGGAUGGAGUGGAGGGUGCUGGAAAAGAAUGGGUAUCUGUUUUCAAAGCUAAUGUUGCUCAUUCCCAAAUCUCAGUGCUUCCAUCUGGCCCCAGGAGCUGUGCUUGACCAAGGACCGGUGCCUUUCCCUCUAGAAAUACCACUAGAGGCUGGCAAAAAUGCACAUCAGGCCUCCGAGUGUCCUGGCUGCCCGAGAUGAGGUUGGACUUCCGAUGGUGUGUGCCUGCUGCCGUGCCUUGCUCCCCUUACCACCGUUCAGCAACGCGGGAAGCUGGGAAGCAUUUUAUGACCACCUGGAAGACAGCCCCAGAGAUGUCCAAGCUCACUGUGCUAUCGAGGACCUAGAAGCAACUGAAGAUGCCGCUCAGGGGGAAAGUCAAAGGAGGAGAAUGCUGGGGCACCCACAGAACCGUCAACAGUAAUGCAGGAUUUGGAAGUUGAUAAGAAGACAGGUGGCCUUGAUGCAGGCACCCUGGCUGUGUCGGUCAUCUGUGGCUGUGUAACAAACGCCGCAAAGCCGAGAAGCGCAAAACAGG